This 100-nucleotide non-coding RNA is filed under the name Paenibacillus riograndensis. Its description in RNAcentral is "Guanine sequence". It matches the Rfam family "Purine riboswitch aptamer". Rfam says of the family: Riboswitches are metabolite binding domains within certain messenger RNAs that serve as precision sensors for their corresponding targets. Lineage: Bacteria; Bacillati; Bacillota; Bacilli; Caryophanales; Paenibacillaceae. The record is from RNAcentral.
CGUUAGAGCAGCAUAAACAUUCGUAUAAUUCCGGGAAUCGGCCCGGAAGUCUCUACGAGGUCACCGUAAUGACCUGGCUACGAUUAUGAAGAGCAAGGCC